Long non-coding RNA from Brienomyrus brachyistius, 248 nucleotides. RefSeq lists it as uncharacterized. The record is from RefSeq and is a predicted model, not a curated record. NCBI's taxonomy places the organism in Eukaryota, Metazoa, Chordata, Actinopteri, Osteoglossiformes, Mormyridae. The transcript has 3 exons.
AUCGCCAGGUGGACUGCUGAGAAAAGGGCCAGGAAAGGGCUGUUUCUGAACACUGUUCCAUUACAGAAUUACAACCAAGGGCCACACAAUGCUUAACAUCAAGAAUAAUCCUUCAUUUCAUAUGCUGCACCCUUGGAGGAACAUCACCACAGUGGGAAACCAAGACAUAUCAAGAGCAGAAAAAUGUGGAGUCUCUCACAGACACGCAUGAGACUCUCCUUAUGGACAAUGAACACAUAGCCCAAAUG